AACGAACGCUGGCGGCAGGCUUAACACAUGCAAGUCGAACGCCCCGCAAGGGGAGUGGCAGACGGGUGAGUAACGCGUGGGAAUCUACCCAUCUCUGCGGAAUAGCUCUGGGAAACUGGAAUUAAUACCGCAUACGCCCUACGGGGGAAAGAUUUAUCGGGGAUGGAUGAGCCCGCGUUGGAUUAGCUAGUUGGUGGGGUAAAGGCCUACCAAGGCGACGAUCCAUAGCUGGUCUGAGGGGAUGAUCAGCCACAUUGGGAGUGAGACACGGCCCAAGCUCCUACGGGAGGCAGCAGUGGGGAAUAUUGGACAAUGGGCGCAAGCCUGAUCCAGCCAUGCCGCGUGAGUGAUGAAGGCCUUAGGGUUGUAAAGCUCUUUCACCGAUGAAGAUAAUGACGGUAGUCGGAGAAGAAGCCCCGGCUAACUUCGUGCCAGCCGCCGCCGUAA
RNAcentral lists this ribosomal RNA (447 nucleotides) under uncultured bacterium. RNAcentral's name for it is "partial 16S ribosomal RNA". It matches the Rfam family "Bacterial small subunit ribosomal RNA", at positions 29 to 523 of the family's 1533-position model. The record is from RNAcentral.